UUAAUUUAACUUGGGAGUCAGAACAUGGGUGAUAAGGUCCGUGUUCGAAAGGGAAACAGCCCAGACCACCAGCUAAGGUCCCAAAAUAUAUGUUAAGUGGAAAAGGAUGUGGCGUUGCCCAGACAACUAGGAUGUUGGCUUAGAAGCAGCCAUCAUUUAAAGAGUGCGUAAUAGCUCACUAGUCGAGUGACACUGCGCCGAAAAUGUACCGGGGCUAAACAUAUUACCGAAGCUGUGGAUUGUCCUUUGGACAAUGGUAGGAGAGCGUUCUAAGGGCGUUGAAGCAUGAUCGUAAGGACAUGUGGAGCGCUUAGAAGUGAGAAUGCCGGUGUGAGUAGCGAAAGACGGGUGAGAAUCCCGUCCACCGAUUGACUAAGGUUUCCAGAGGAAGGCUCGUCCGCUCUGGGUUAGUCGGGUCCUAAGCUGAGGCCGACAGGCGUAGGCGAUGGAUAACAGGUUGAUAUUCCUGUACCACCUAUAAUCGUUUUAAUCGAUGGGGGGACGCAGUAGGAUAGGCGAAGCGUGCGAUUGGAUUGCACGUCUAAGCAGUAAGGCUGAGUAUUAGGCAAAUCCGGUACUCAUUAAGGCUGAGCUGUGAUGGGGAGAAGACAUUGUGUCUUCGAGUCGUUGAUUUCACACUGCCGAGAAAAGCCUCUAGAUAGAAAAUAGGUGCCCGUACCGCAAACCGACACAGGUAGUCAAGAUGAGAAUUCUAAGGUGAGCGAGCGAACUCUCGUUAAGGAACUCGGCAAAAUGACCCCGUAACUUCGGGAGAAGGGGUGCUCUUUAGGGUUAACGCCCAGAAGAGCCGCAGUGAAUAGGCCCAAGCGACUGUUUAUCAAAAACACAGGUCUCUGCUAAACCGUAAGGUGAUGUAUAGGGGCUGACGCCUGCCCGGUGCUGGAAGGUUAAGAGGAGUGGUUAGCUUCUGCGAAGCUACGAAUCGAAGCCCCAGUAAACGGCGGCCGUAACUAUAACGGUCCUAAGGUAGCGAAAUUCCUUGUCGGGUAAGUUCCGACCCGCACGAAAGGCGUAACGAUUUGGGCACUGUCUCAACGAGAGACUCGGUGAAAUCAUAGUACCUGUGAAGAUGCAGGUUACCCGCGACAGGACGGAAAGACCCCGUGGAGCUUUACUGUAGCCUGAUAUUGAAAUUCGGCACAGCUUGUACAGGAUAGGUAGGAGCCUUUGAAACGUGAGCGCUAGCUUACGUGGAGGCGCUGGUGGGAUACUACCCUAGCUGUGUUGGCUUUCUAACCCGCACCACUUAUCGUGGUGGGAGACAGUGUCAGGCGGGCAGUUUGACUGGGGCGGUCGCCUCCUAAAAGGUAACGGAGGCGCUCAAAGGUUCCCUCAGAAUGGUUGGAAAUCAUUCAUAGAGUGUAAAGGCAUAAGGGAGCUUGACUGCGAGACCUACAAGUCGAGCAGGGUCGAAAGACGGACUUAGUGAUCCGGUGGUUCCGCAUGGAAGGGCCAUCGCUCAACGGAUAAAAGCUACCCCGGGGAUAACAGGCUUAUCUCCCCCAAGAGUUCACAUCGACGGGGAGGUUUGGCACCUCGAUGUCGGCUCAUCGCAUCCUGGGG
This 1584-nucleotide ribosomal RNA is filed under the name Staphylococcus aureus. RNAcentral's name for it is "partial 23S ribosomal RNA". It matches the Rfam family "Bacterial large subunit ribosomal RNA", at positions 967 to 2552 of the family's 2925-position model. The record is from RNAcentral. Lineage: Bacteria; Bacillati; Bacillota; Bacilli; Caryophanales; Staphylococcaceae.